This 229-nucleotide ribosomal RNA is filed under the name uncultured bacterium. RNAcentral's name for it is "partial 16S ribosomal RNA". It matches the Rfam family "Bacterial small subunit ribosomal RNA", at positions 568 to 796 of the family's 1533-position model. The record is from RNAcentral.
UACGUAGGCGGAAAAUUUAGUCAGUGGUGAAAUCCCGCAGCUUAACUGGGGAACUGUCAUUGAUACUGGUUUUCUUGAAUUUAGUUGAGGUAGGCGGAAUGUGUAAUGUAGCGGUGAAAUGCUUAGAUAUUACACAGAACACCGAUUGCGAAGGCAGCUUACUAAGCUAUGAUUGACGCUGAGGUACGAAAGCGUGGGGAGCGAACAGGAUUAGAUACCCUGGUAGUCC